RNAcentral lists this ribosomal RNA (595 nucleotides) under Salmonella enterica subsp. enterica serovar Infantis. Its description in RNAcentral is "partial 23S ribosomal RNA". It matches the Rfam family "Bacterial large subunit ribosomal RNA", at positions 329 to 827 of the family's 2925-position model. The record is from RNAcentral. Lineage: Bacteria; Pseudomonadati; Pseudomonadota; Gammaproteobacteria; Enterobacterales; Enterobacteriaceae.
UUAGUGGAAGCGUCUGGAAAGGCGCGCGAUACAGGGUGACAGCCCCGUACACAAAAGCGCAUGUGCUGUGAGCUCGAUGAGUAGGGCGGGACACGUGGUAUCCUGUCUGAAUAUGGGGGGACCAUCCUCCAAGGCUAAAUACUCCUGACUGACCGAUAGUGAACCAGUACCGUGAGGGAAAGGCGAAAAGAACCCCGGCGAGGGGAGUGAAAAAGAACCUGAAACCGUGUACGUACAAGCAGUGGGAGCCCCACCACCAAAGCAUUCUCUGGUGUUGAAGGCCCUGCAAAGCAGCAUCGCGGUGGCGGAGCGUCGUUUGCGACGCCCAACACACAAAACAAGCGGUGAGUGCUUUGGGGUGGGGUGACUGCGUACCUUUUGUAUAAUGGGUCAGCGACUUAUAUUCUGUAGCAAGGUUAACCGAAUAGGGGAGCCGGAGGGAAACCGAGUCUUAAUUGGGCGUUAAGUUGCAGGGUAUAGACCCGAAACCCGGUGAUCUAGCCAUGGGCAGGUUGAAGGUUGGGUAACACUAACUGGAGGACCGAACCGACUAAUGUUGAAAAAUUAGCGGAUGACCUGUGGCUGGGGGUGAAAG